AGUAGGAUGUCUGAUUUAGGUAAUAAAUUGUAAAUUUAUUUAAGGAAUUUUUCCUCCUAUUA
This 62-nucleotide transfer RNA is filed under the name Stenocranus matsumurai. RNAcentral's name for it is "tRNA-Tyr". Lineage: Eukaryota; Metazoa; Arthropoda; Insecta; Hemiptera; Delphacidae. The record is from RNAcentral.